CCUACGGGUGGCAGCAGUCGAGAAUUUUUCUCAAUGGGGGAAACCCUGAAGGAGCGACGCCGCGUGGAGGAUGAAGGUCUUCGGAUUGUAAACUCCUGUCAUUGGGGAACAAACCACUGUGGUUAACUGCCAUGGUGCUGAUAGUACCCGAAGAGGAAGAGACGGCUAACUCUGUGCCAGCAGCCGCGGUAAUACAGAGGUCUCAAGCGUUGUUCGGAUUCAUUGGGCGUAAAGGGUGCGUAGGUGGUUCUGUAAGUCGGAUGUGAAAUCCCGGGGCUCAACCCCGGAACUGCAUUCGAUACUGCAGGGCUUGAGUGCUGGAGAGGAGAUCGGAAUUUACGGUGUAGCAGUGAAAUGCGUAGAUAUCGUAAGGAAGACCGGUGGCGAAGGCGGAUCUCUGGACAGCAACUGACACUGAGGCACGAAGGCCAGGGGAGCAAACGGGAUUAGAUACCCUAGUAGUC
Molecule: ribosomal RNA, 464 nt
Filed under: uncultured bacterium
Lineage: Bacteria
Description: bacterial SSU rRNA
Rfam family: Bacterial small subunit ribosomal RNA
Source: RNAcentral